GGCUUAGGCUUGAUCUCAGGCUUAGGCUUAGGCUUGUGCUUAGGCAUAGCCUAGGCUUAGGCU
RNAcentral lists this small RNA (63 nucleotides) under Caenorhabditis elegans. RNAcentral's name for it is "Unclassified non-coding RNA W03D8.12". Lineage: Eukaryota; Metazoa; Nematoda; Chromadorea; Rhabditida; Rhabditidae. The record is from RNAcentral.